ACCUCUAAACAAUCGCGACCUCCACGGCGGUCGGUCUUACCCGCGAGUGCGGCGUUUCUCGAAUGUUUUGAUCCUGUUUCUUGCCGGCGGAAGAUCAACACAGCGCAGAAUACACGCGUGGUGGCGAGUUAUUUCCGUAAUUCUCGUCGAUUAAAACACUUGGCCGCCUUACGGCCAAUGUUCCGUUCGAUCGGACUCAUUGAUCAAAACAUCGAUCGCUUUCGUUAACGAGCGUUUUCUCAUAGAAUCGUAUUGUACGCGAGGAUCUGAUAGCGCGGAUUAGUAUCGAUAUACUAUCGUCGAUGACAGGUAAAUAUCCGGAAUGACAGAUGAAGCAGAUAGGUAUCAGAAUGCUGAGUUCGGAAACAAACGAUACGUUAUUUUCAGAUCUGACAGAUCUUAUGACUGCAUCACGAAGGCUGCUGUAGUUCCGACGGGUGCUGUACCAGAGGAUUCGGGCCAAGCAGGGUCGGCUUGAAGAUUUGAAGCGGAACGUGGCUGACUCUGACUGCAAGUCGUUUUGGUGAGAGAAAAAGAAAAGAAUUUCUGGUGAGAGAAUUAGAUUGUAGGAUUUAAGUGAUAUCGUUGAAAUUAAUGCGAAUUGCUUGUAGAUUUUUGCAUGUUGAAUUUUUCUAUGUUUUUGCACACAGAAAAUACAUUCCGCUUUCAAGUAAAUGUUAUUUUCUUGAAGAAUUUCAUAAGUUUAUAUAUAUAAAG
Long non-coding RNA from Odontomachus brunneus, 717 nucleotides. RefSeq lists it as uncharacterized. NCBI's taxonomy places the organism in Eukaryota, Metazoa, Arthropoda, Insecta, Hymenoptera, Formicidae. The transcript is spliced from 3 exons. The record is from RefSeq and is a predicted model, not a curated record.